CGCUGGCGGCGUGCUUAACACAUGCAAGUCGAACGAGGCUUAUCGUGGAAGUUUUCGGAUGGAAACGGAUAUGACCGAGUGGCGGACGGGUGAGUAACGCGUGGGGAACCUGCCCCAUUCCGGGGGAUACCAGUUGGAAACGACUGUUAAUACCGCAUAAGCGCACAGCACCGCAUGGUGGAGUGUGAAAAACUGAGGUGGAAUGGGAUGGCCCGCGUCUGAUUAGCCAGUUGGCAGGGUAACGGCCUACCAAAGCGACGAUCAGUAGCCGGCCUGAGAGGGCGACCGGCCACAUUGGGACUGAGACACGGCCCAAACUCCUACGGGAGGCAGCAGUGGGGAAUAUUGCACAAUGGGGGAAACCCUGAUGCAGCGAACCGCCGCGUGAGUGAAGAAGUAUUUCGGUAUGUAAAGCUCUAUCAGCAGGGAAGAAGAUGACGGUACCUGCACAAGAAGCCCCGGCUAACUACGUGCCAGCCGCAGC
Molecule: ribosomal RNA, 484 nt
Filed under: uncultured bacterium
Lineage: Bacteria
Description: bacterial SSU rRNA
Rfam family: Bacterial small subunit ribosomal RNA
Source: RNAcentral